This 263-nucleotide long non-coding RNA is filed under the name Gossypium barbadense (sea-island cotton). Its description in RNAcentral is "long non-coding RNA (GBAR_LNC011237)". The record is from RNAcentral. Lineage: Eukaryota; Viridiplantae; Streptophyta; Magnoliopsida; Malvales; Malvaceae.
GCUUUGGACAGAUCUUGGACCCCUCAAUGUUCCAAUUCCUGUUUAACUCACAACUUCAACCCAUCCAUGAAAAAUAAAAAUGUCUCAUUCUUACUCAGAUCCAUGAUUUGGAGCAUUAGUUCACUGAACUCCUUCAUAUAAUCCUUAAUUAUGCCUUAUUGUGAGAACCGAAGAAACUUAACCCGAGCCUCUUACUCGGCUUAUUGAGGGUAAAACUACUCAUUAAGCUUUUUUCUGGAACUCCUCCCAAGUCUCAAUUUCAG